Molecule: long non-coding RNA, 2735 nt
Filed under: Vitis vinifera (wine grape)
Lineage: Eukaryota; Viridiplantae; Streptophyta; Magnoliopsida; Vitales; Vitaceae
Description: long non-coding RNA (VVIN_LNC002394)
Source: RNAcentral
CCCUGCCCACAUUUGAACACAAAAUGUGAAGAACUUAUUACCACUAACAACUCAACAAUGCCAAAUUGGAAAAUAAGUCAGAAUUUUGUAAAAUUCAAACAAGCAGAAAAGGAAAAAAAAAUAAAAAAUCUACCAUAACAGUUCCUAAUUUCAGAGUGCAUAAAUGGAGAUUAAAAUUAAAGACCUAAGUCCUUGAGAAAAUCUCACCAAAUGCAAUUAGCAUGAAGCUUCAGCUUUUGUUAGAUUUUUAUGUUCAUAAAUUAGCAAACUGCACUCUAACUAAAUGCCAUUACUUUGUAAAACAGAGAUUUUAGAAUUUAAAUUUGAGUGCAAAUUAAUACUCACCAAAAAAAAGAAAAAAAAAAAAGAAAAAGAAAAAGCAACAUACUAAUCUCGGCUAUUCCUUCAGGAAAUAAGGUGUUCAAGGCAUUCUUUUCACGUGGAAAUCCUUUCCCUCUCUGCCCAUUUUGAUUGAAGCAGUUGGCAGGAAUUUUUCAGGGGGCAAAUGCUCUGUUGCAUAGUUUGGGGAUUGUCCAUCAUGUCUUCUUAAUUACAUUCAUGAAAAAAUUUAUCUGAAAACCUGAGGUUUAGUUUCUUUCUUGAGAAAACUUCCCUAGAAAUACCAUUCAUAGAAGAAAUAAGGAACCCUGAGUUAUAAAUUCUGGUUUUCUGGGACAGCAUCUGGAAAUCUUGCAGAAACCAAACAGCAUCAUCGUGUUUUAUGUAACAUUUCAAGGUACAAAUCUUGCAGAAACCAAACAGCACCAUCGUGUUUUAUGUAACAUUUCAAGGUACAAAUCUACCAUCUUGAAUUGGUCCAUUACAAUCAACCACUACAAUAUAGUCAUUUCAAGAAACUAGAAUUAUAACAUACCAAAUUUGUGGUUAUAGUUCCUAUUUUCCUUCAAGGCCUCCUUGUAGAUGGUGAAUUCCUACUUUAAAAAACUACAUACAACAAUAAUGAUGCCCCUUUGAAGUAUGAAUUGCAGCAGAACUCUAAACAUGCCCUCAGAGAACUCACAUCAUAUUAACAGUACGAAUACAAUUUUGAAUUUUCCAAGAAAAUUAAAAGCAUAUUUUAAACUAAAAUUCUGUUAAAAUAUAUAUAUAUAUAUAUAUAUAUAUAUAUAUAUAUAUAUAUAUAUAUAUCCUGAAGAUGAACUUAAGUGAAACGUCACUUGUUUAGUAAUUAUUGAUAAUACUAGAAAGAAUCUCCGUUGUUCAUUAAAUGCUCCUGCACUUGUAUUAGUAGGGUGGAGUGAUCUUAAGAAUGACUCACUCUCCUCUGCAUGGUGGCUUAGGGCACAAAUAGUACUGGGAAAAAUACAUGGGAUAUCAGUGAGUCAAAUCUAAACAGUAUAUUUCAGCCAGCAAAUUACUAUUUUGCUCCUCAAUAAGUAAUCCAUCCAUGAAGCAUAGCACAAAACAUCAGUAUGGCAGUUGUGAUCACCUUCUAUCAUCCCAAAAUAUUUCUCACGAUCACUAACCAUCAAUCCUAGAUUUUUAAAUUGUUUAAAAUGAUACAAAUCAAAUUCAGUCCACUCCAGAAGCAAAUGACAACCUGAAGUCAAAGCUUAAGACCUUCUACACCCAUAGAGUAAGUUGUGAACUUCAGUAAAGCUAAUAAUGUCCAAUAAAUUAGUUAUUUUUAAUUCACUUUUCACCUGAAAAAAAAAUAAAAUUUAAAACCUUGUUGAUGGUUCUUCAAGGGGUCAAGCUAGAACCAGCUCUAAGUAGAAACUCCAGUUGUGAACUUGUUACAGAGUUGCCUAUGGAACAAUUUGCAUGGCAAAACUCUUUGUUCAAAAUAUAGCAUGAAAUUAAUUCCUUUUGAAAAUUGAACAAUUUUGAGUCAGAUUAUGAUUGAGAUUACAGGGGUUGCACCCAUCCAUCUUCCAAUAACCAAUCUAGACAAUUGUUAUGAAUCAAUUUCAAUAUGAUCAUCUUAAACUCCUAGUUUUUAGUUGCUGAUACAAAAGGACAGUGUAUAAUUCAAGAAGGAAUAUAAUAAUUAUUAAAGCCGACCUUAUCGCUGAAACCAAACAUCACAGAAGACCCAACAUCAAACGUAUACCCAUCUCUCUGGUAGAACCCAGAGCUCCCACCAGGAAUCACAUACUUCUCCAGCACCAACACCCUAGCUCCCUUCACUGCCAGCUGUGUUGCCGCAACCAACCCUCCAAUUCCCGACCCGAUAACAAUGGCAUCGUAUUGCUUUUCCUCUCCUGUUCUUCCAUUCCCUUCCCUCUCUACCACUUCAUCCACACUCAGCACUGAUCUAGGCCUCACAACACAGCUUCCACUCCUACUCCACCUAUAGACCCCUAAUUCAACACCACCAUGCUUGUAACCCUCCAAUCCCAUGGUUUUCACCUGGUCACCAGACAUAAAUCUAUUUCCCAAAUUUCUGGGCCUCAAACUCCCCAACUGUAACUGACAACUGCAAAACCCUAAACCCAUGCUACUCAACUUGUCACCUCUGAAACCCAGGGUUCCCACUUGACCGAAAUUCAUGUCACCCAGCUUGUAACAAUGAAAAACCAGGUUUCUUUGAGGAUCAACAGAUUGAAAUUGGAGCAUUUGGUUGGUGGGUCUUAAACUGCUCAACUGGGUGGCUUUGUAGGGACGGCAGAGUUUAUGAAUUGUUUAGUUCAUUGGAGGUGCAAACGUGUGAAACCCCAAUUUGAAAAUGAGGAAGUAAGCAUGUGGGUUGGGUUGGGUUGGAUUAGGAUUGA